AUACAUGAGAGCAAGCGUUAUACAUAUUGACUGGGUGUAUUAAAUAUUUUGAAGAUUAUAAAUAAUUUUAUAAAAUUUAAUUUAAAUUAAAUAUAAAAAUUUAUUUAUAAAUAAAAUUUUUUUAAUAAGAAAAGAAAACUUAUAAAUAGCGAUUAAAUGCAGUUACAUUAUAAUGUUUGCCAAAAAUGAAAGUACUUUUCUGUUAAAAAAAUUAUUUUAUAUAUGAAAGUAUGGGUAUCGAAAAGGAUUAGAAACCCUAUUAGUCCAUACUGUAAAAGAUGAAUAUUUUAUGAUUAUUUUUUAAUCAGUAAUAGCUAACGUAAAAUAUUCUACUUGGGGAGUAUAGUCGCAAGAUUUAAACUUAACUGAAUUGGCGGGAAUUUGAAUAAACGGUGGAACAUGUGGUUUAAUACGAUAAUCCACGUAAAAUCUUACCAACAUUUAUUUUAUUUAAUUUAUAGUAGUAUAUGUAGCAAUAUAACUAAUAAAUAAAAUUUGGUAUUGCAUGGCUGUCGUCAGUUCGUGUUUUGAAAUGUAUAAUUAAGUUUUUUUUAAACGAACGUAACCCUAAAAAUAAAAUUAAUAAUUAUUUAGUUUUAAUAUUUGUUAUAUUUAUUUUUUUAUUUAUUUAUUAAAUUAUAUUUUUGAAAUUAUAAAUAAAUAAGGGUUUUAGGCUGAAGUCAAGUCUUUAUGGUCCGUAUAUGUUGGGCUACACACGUGUUACAAGGGUAAAAACAAAAAGACGCAAUAUAGUGAUAUUGAGCAAAACUUUAAAAAUUACCCAAGUACAGAUUGUUUUAUGAAACUCUAAAACAUGAAGGUGAAAUCGUUAGUAAUUGUAAAUUAAAAUGUUACAGUGAAUUUUAAAUCAAAUUUUGCACACACCGCCCAUCACGCUCGAAAAAUCUUUUUUAAGAAAGACCAAAAAAAUUUUUAUUUUUAAAUUAUAUUUUUAAAAAUAUAAUUGUUAAUUUUUUUUUUUAAAAAAAAUAAAAACUAUUAUUGUCUAAAUAAAGAUAGGUAAUUUGAGUGAAGUU
This 1037-nucleotide ribosomal RNA is filed under the name Clausilocola apostropha. RNAcentral's name for it is "partial large subunit ribosomal RNA". The stretch from base 1 to 899 matches the Rfam family "Bacterial small subunit ribosomal RNA", at positions 523 to 1533 of the family's 1533-position model. The record is from RNAcentral. Lineage: Eukaryota; Ciliophora; Oligohymenophorea; Astomatida; Clausilocolidae.